RNAcentral lists this ribosomal RNA (397 nucleotides) under uncultured bacterium. RNAcentral describes it as "partial 16S ribosomal RNA". It matches the Rfam family "Bacterial small subunit ribosomal RNA", at positions 523 to 918 of the family's 1533-position model. The record is from RNAcentral.
AUACGUAGGUGGCAAGCGUUGUCCGGAUUUACUGGGUGUAAAGGGCGCGUAGGCGGGCAGGCAAGUCAGAUGUGAAAUCUCCGGGCUCAACCCGGAAAUUGCAUUUGAAACUGCAGGUCUUGAGUAUCGGAGAGGCAAGCGGAAUUCCUAGUGUAGCGGUGAAAUGCGUAGAUAUUAGGAGGAAGACCAGUGGCGAAGGCGCCUUGCUGGAUGACAACGGAAGUUCAGCGGAGAACGCGGGGGGAGAAAAAAGUUUGUGACUCCUGGGUAGUCCUCGCCGUAAACGAUGAAUACUAGGUGUAGGGGGUAUCGACUCCCUAUGUGCCGCAGUUAACACAAUAAGGAAUCCACCUGGGGAGUACGGCAGCAAGGUGGAAACUUAAAGGAAUUGACGGGG